Molecule: ribosomal RNA, 798 nt
Filed under: uncultured Glomus
Lineage: Eukaryota; Fungi; Glomeromycota; Glomeromycetes; Glomerales; Glomeraceae
Description: SSU rRNA
Rfam family: Eukaryotic small subunit ribosomal RNA
Source: RNAcentral
CAACUUUCGAUGGUAGGAUAGAGGCCUACCAUGGUGGUAACGGGUAACGGGGUGUUAGGGCACGACACCGGAGAGGGAGCCUGAGAAACGGCUACCACAUCCAAGGAUGGCAGCAGGCGCGCAAAUUACCCAAUCCCGACACGGGGAGGUAGUGACAAUAAAUAACAAUACGGGGUUCUUUCGGAUCUCGUAAUUGGAAUGAGUACAAUUUAAAUCUCUUAACGAGGAACAAUUGGAGGGCAAGUCUGGUGCCAGCAGCCGCGGUAAUUCCAGCUCCAAUAGCGUAUAUUAAAGUUGUUGCAGUUAAAAAGCUCGUAGUUGAAUUUCGGGGUCAGUAGGUUGGUCGUGCCACAGGUAUGAACUGGUCUCACUGAUUCCUCCUUCCUGAUGAACCGUAAUGCCAUUAAUUUGGUGUUGCGGGGAGACUGGACUGUUACUUUGAAAAAAUUAGAGUGUUUAAAGCAGGCUAACGCUUGAAUACAUUAGCAUGGAAUAAUGAAAUAGGACGUUCGGUCUUAUUUUGUUGGUUUCUAAGAUUGACGUAAUGAUUAAUAGGGAUAGUUGGGGGCAUUAGUAUUCAAUUGUCAGAGGUGAAAUUCUUGGAUUUAUUGAAGACUAACUACUGCGAAAGCAUUUGCCAAGGAUGUUUUCAUUAAUCAAGAACGAAAGUUAGGGGAUCGAAGACGAUCAGAUACCGUCGUAGUCUUAACCAUAAACUAUGCCGACUAGGGAUCGGAUGAUGUUAAUUUUUUAAUGACUCAUUCGGCGCCUUACGGGAAACCAAAGUGUUUGGGUUCA